This 849-nucleotide ribosomal RNA is filed under the name uncultured beta proteobacterium. Its description in RNAcentral is "bacterial SSU rRNA". It matches the Rfam family "Bacterial small subunit ribosomal RNA", at positions 58 to 903 of the family's 1533-position model. Lineage: Bacteria; Pseudomonadati; Pseudomonadota; Betaproteobacteria. The record is from RNAcentral.
CAAGUCGAGCGGCAGCGCGGGGCAACCUGGCGGCGAGCGGCGAACGGGUGAGUAAUGCAUCGGAACAUGUCCAAGUCGUGGGGGAUAGCCCGGCGAAAGCCGGAUUAAUACCGCAUGUGCCCGAGAGGGGAAAGUGGGGGACCGCAAGGCCUCACGCGAUUGGGUUGGCCGAUGUCCGAUUAGCUAGUUGGCGGGGUAAGAGCCCACCAAGGCGAUGAUCGGUAGCUGGUCUGAGAGGAUGAUCAGCCACACUGGGACUGAGACACGGCCCAGACUCCUACGGGAGGCAGCAGUGGGGAAUUUUGGACAAUGGGGGCAACCCUGAUCCAGCCAUUCCGCGUGAGUGAAGAAGGCCUUCGGGUUGUAAAGCUCUUUUGUCCGGAACGAAACGGUUACGGUGAAUAUCCGUGGCUAAUGACGGUACCGGAAGAAUAAGCACCGGCUAACUACGUGCCAGCAGCCGCGGUAAUACGUAGGGUGCGAGCGUUAAUCGGAAUUACUGGGCGUAAAGCGUGCGCAGGCGGUUUUGUAAGCCAGAUGUGAAAUCCCCGGGCUUAACCUGGGAAUGGCAUUUGGGACUGCAAGGCUGGAGUGCGGCAGAGGAGACUGGAAUUCCUGGUGUAGCAGUGAAAUGCGUAGAUAUCAGGAGGAAUACCGAUGGCGAAGGCAGGUCUCUGGGCUGACACUGACGCUCAUGCACGAAAGCGUGGGGAGCAAACAGGAUUAGAUACCCUGGUAGUCCACGCCCUAAACGAUGUCGACUGGUUGUUGGGGGUUUGACACUCUCAGUAACGAAGCUAACGCGUGAAGUCGACCGCCUGGGGAGUACGGCCGCAAGGUUAAAACUCA